RNAcentral lists this transfer RNA (60 nucleotides) under Parachtes riberai. RNAcentral's name for it is "tRNA-Phe". Lineage: Eukaryota; Metazoa; Arthropoda; Arachnida; Araneae; Dysderidae. The record is from RNAcentral.
ACCUGUUUAGCUUAAUAUUAAAGCAUUUUAUUGAAGAUAAAAACACCUCUCCAUCAUGAA